GUCGAGCGCGGGAAGCAAGCUGAUCCUCUUCGGAGGUGACGCUUGUGGAACGAGCGGCGGACGGGUGAGUAACACGUGGGCAACCUGCCUGUAAGACUGGGAUAACCCCGGGAAACCGGGGCUAAUACCGGAUAAUACUUUUCAUCACCUGAUGGGAAGUUGAAAGGUGGCUUUUAGCUACCACUUACAGAUGGGCCCGCGGCGCAUUAGCUAGUUGGUGAGGUAACGGCUCACCAAGGCAACGAUGCGUAGCCGACCUGAGAGGGUGAUCGGCCACACUGGGACUGAGACACGGCCCAGACUCCUACGGGAGGCAGCAGUAGGGAAUCUUCCGCAAUGGACGAAAGUCUGACGGAGCAACGCCGCGUGAGUGAUGAAGGUUUUCGGAUCGUAAAGCUCUGUUGUUAGGGAAGAACAAGUGCCGUUCGAAUAGGGCGGCACCUUGACGGUACCUAACCAGAAAGCCCCGGCUAACUACGUGCCAGCAGCCGCGGUAAUACGUAGGGGGCAAGCGUUGUCCGGAAUUAUUGGGCGUAAAGCGCGCGCAGGCGGUCCUUUAAGUCUGAUGUGAAAGCCCACGGCUCAACCGUGGAGGGUCAUUGGAAACUGGAGGACUUGAGUACAGAAGAGGAGAGUGGAAUUCCACGUGUAGCGGUGAAAUGCGUAGAGAUGUGGAGGAACACCAGUGGCGAAGGCGACUCUCUGGUCUGUAACUGACGCUGAGGCGCGAAAGCGUGGGGAGCGAACAGGAUUAGAUACCCUGGUAGUCCACGCCGUAAACGAUGAGUGCUAGGUGUUAGGGGGUUUCCGCCCCUUAGUGCUGAAGUAACGCAUAAGCACUCC
This 843-nucleotide ribosomal RNA is filed under the name Virgibacillus halodenitrificans. RNAcentral's name for it is "bacterial SSU rRNA". It matches the Rfam family "Bacterial small subunit ribosomal RNA", at positions 46 to 870 of the family's 1533-position model. The record is from RNAcentral. Lineage: Bacteria; Bacillati; Bacillota; Bacilli; Caryophanales; Bacillaceae.